AACGAACGCUGGCGGCAGGCUUAACACAUGCAAGUCGAGCGAAGACUUCGGUCUUAGCGGCGGACGGGUGAGUAACGCGUGGGAACGUGCCCUUCUCUACGGAACAGUCCUGGGAAACUGGGUUUAAUACCGUAUACGCCCUUUUGGGGAAAGAUUUAUCGCCCUUAGACGGGCCCGCGUCGGAUUAGGUAGUUGGUGGGGUAACGGCCUACCAAGCCUACGAUCCGUAGCUGAUCUGAGAGGAUGAUCAGCCACACUGGGACUGAGACACGGCCCAGACUCCUACGGGAGGCAGCAGUGGGGAAUCUUGGACAAUGGGCGCAAGCCUGAUCCAGCCAUGCCGCGUGAGUGAAGAAGGCCUUAGGGUUGUAAAGCUCUUUUGCCAGGGACGAUAAUGACGGUACCUGGAGAAUAAGCCCCGGCAAACUUCGUGCCAGCAGCCGCAGUAAAAC
Molecule: ribosomal RNA, 452 nt
Filed under: uncultured bacterium
Lineage: Bacteria
Description: bacterial SSU rRNA
Rfam family: Bacterial small subunit ribosomal RNA
Source: RNAcentral